CCUACGGGGGGCAGCAGUGAGGAAUAUUGGUCAAUGGGCGAGAGCCUGAACCAGCCAAGUCGCGUGAAGGAUGAAGGAUCUAUGGUUUGUAAACUUCUUUUAUAUGGGAAUAAAAUGUUCCACGUGUGGGAUUUUGUAUGUACCAUAUGAAUAAGGAUCGGCUAACUCCGUGCCAGCAGCCGCGGUAAUACGGAGGAUCCGAGCGUUAUCCGGAUUUAUUGGGUUUAAAGGGAGCGUAGGUGGAUUGUUAAGUCAGUUGUGAAAGUUUGCGGCUCAACCGUAAAAUUGCAGUUGAAACUGGCAGUCUUGAGUACAGUAGAGGUGGGCGGAAUUCGUGGUGUAGCGGUGAAAUGCUUAGAUAUCACGAAGAACUCCGAUUGCGAAGGCAGCUCACUGGACUGCAACUGACACUGAGGCUCGAAAGUGUGGGUAUCAAACAGGAUUAGAUACCCCAGUAGUC
This 460-nucleotide ribosomal RNA is filed under the name uncultured bacterium. Its description in RNAcentral is "partial 16S ribosomal RNA". It matches the Rfam family "Bacterial small subunit ribosomal RNA", at positions 338 to 795 of the family's 1533-position model. The record is from RNAcentral.